Long non-coding RNA from Catharus ustulatus (Swainson's thrush), 2068 nucleotides. RefSeq lists it as uncharacterized. The transcript is spliced from 3 exons. NCBI's taxonomy places the organism in Eukaryota, Metazoa, Chordata, Aves, Passeriformes, Turdidae. The record is from RefSeq and is a predicted model, not a curated record.
GAAUAAACGUGGACGUUAUACCGAGGAAGAAGGAGCCGCCUUUUGUCUUUUUCUUUUGUCCUUGCGGAAUUCCCAUCCAUCUCUGGCCAAGAGCUAGGCGGAGGGGACCAGAGAGAGGAGGGAAUUGCCAGAGCUGGCGGUCCAUCAUGAGGCCUCCCACGAGGUUGAGACCCCACAUAACAGCUGGAUUAUAAGCCUUUUGGACCGUACAGCUACCCUGGUGGCAGGGAGCUGCUUUUUGAGCAGUGACUGCUAACAGGGACUGAGCGGUAGCUUGCCUGAGCCCAAGGCAGGUCGGUUCUGGACAAGGACUUUCUUCGCAGUACUUUUGGACAGCCGAGGUCCCCAGGAAAGGGGUCUACUGGUUGGACAAUCAUUGGAGUGGACCUGCCGAACAACUCACAAGAUGUGACGAUAAACCACAUGGAAUUGGACAAAAAAAAACCUACCUCCCACUCAACCUCACGAUGAGCGCCUCCAAAAUUGUCAUCCUGUUUGCACUGAGCAGCCUGACAGCUGCAUGGAUCAUCCCUCAGCCAUGCCAAAACAUCUGGGUGACGCUGGCACAGAUGCUCCAACAAGAAAACAUAUGCCUGUCCACUGCAGCACCAAGAGGGCCUAUGUCCACCUGCCUGGUAGAGAUUCCAUUGCAGGUUGGAGAAUAUCCAUCCAGCUUUAACACACAUAUGCCUAACGAACUUCCCGAGUCACACAGCAUCUGACCACACCAGAAUCGUCGUCGGCGGGCUGUAAUGAUUAAGAACCCCAUAGAAGAGUGGCUACCAAGUUUGCCCAAAGCAGCUCAGGAACCCCAAGAAUUAGAGCUGUUGGGUUCCUCCCCAGCACCACACUGCAUUCACUUUACCUUCAGCCCAUUAUCUAGCACCAAAGCCUUUCACAACAUACUGCAGUAUCAGGAGGAGUUCACCGCCAAAAGGUGGUGUAAUAUUCUGAGCCAUAUUGCAGCAGACAACCCAUACCAUUCAAGUCCUAAAAGCCUCCCUAAGGGUCUGUUCUUAAUUUGCGGAGACCGGGUAUGGGCAGGGAUCUCUUCUCGGCUGUUAGGAGGUCCAUGUACCUUCGGGCAGUUGUCCAUGUUGGCACUCAACCACACCUUAAUUGGUUCGUAAAAACAAUUUGGCCAAGAAAAUUCAAAAGAGAAGUACUAACAAUUUGGACCCAAACUGUGAUUCUGAAAUUUUUCAUUGGACCAUGUCAAAAAGAGUUGCUGUGUCCCUGUUCCUUCCAUGGGUUGCAGCAGCCAAAACUCUAGGUGAAUUGGGCCACCUAGAGUGCUGGGUAGUCAAACAGGCAAACUCAACAUCCAUCGCCAUCAGCUCCCUCCUAGAAGACGAGGAAUUUACCAAGCAGGCCACACUCCAAAAUCAUGCUGCCAUAGACUUCCUCCUGUUGCUACAUGGACAUGAGUGUCAGGAAUUUGAAGGACUUUGUUGCAUGAAGCUAAUUUCGAAAGUUCCCAACAUCCAUGCAGCCCUCCAAGACAUGAAAAGCUUAAUCAGACAAGUGUAGCAAGAAUCCGAGGAUUGGUUCAGUGAACUUUUCAAAGGGUGGGGACUCACAGGGUGGUGGACUUGCAUAGUUAAAACAAUUUUGUCGUUUUUUGUUGCUCUUUUUCUUAUAGUGUUGGCGUUUGGAAUUCUAUGUUGCUUAAUUUUCAAAGCAAUUAACGACCUAAUUUCUACUACCUCAGAAGUCAACCACAUGGAGUUGGCAAACCAAAAGCAGUCUAAUUUGCCGGAAAAUCAUAAGUGGUGGGCAAGUCCAUAUUCUGAAUCAGAAUAAGCCUUUCUUUCAACUUUAUUAAACUAAAAAGUGGGAGAUGUUGUAUUGUACUAAGUUAUGGUUCAUAUUGCACUGUUAUGUUUUUAUAUUGCACUGAGAAAAUGGUUUGCCCUGCAUCUCCACGAGGCUUGUGAAGAUGGUUCAGCCCUUUCUUAGCCCCUCCCUGCUGGCGUGAUCUCAUUGGCUGCGAUUCGGUCUACCCCCGCCAUCUUCUCUCUGUCUCUCUUUUUCUUGAAAAUGGUUUAUGAAUAAACGUGGAUGUUAU